UACGAAGGGGGCUAGCGUUGCUCGGAAUUACUGGGCGUAAAGGGCGCGUAGGCGGAUAUCUAAGUUGGGGGUGAAAUCCCGGGGCUCAACCUCGGAAUUGCCUUCAAAACUGGAUAUCUUGAGUUCGGGAGAGGUGAGUGGAACUCCGAGUGUAGAGGUGAAAUUCGUAGAUAUUAGGAAGAACACCAGUGGCGAAGGCGGCUCACUGGUCCGGUACUGACGCUGAGGUGCGAAAGCGUGGGGAGCAAACAGG
This 253-nucleotide ribosomal RNA is filed under the name uncultured bacterium. Its description in RNAcentral is "partial 16S ribosomal RNA". It matches the Rfam family "Bacterial small subunit ribosomal RNA", at positions 524 to 776 of the family's 1533-position model. The record is from RNAcentral.